GCAAGUCGAACGAAGUAGCAAUACUUAGUGGCAGACGGGUGAGUAACAUGUGGGUAUCUUCCCUUUGGUGAGGAAUAACACGAGGAAACUUGUGCUAAUACCUCAUAAGUCUUUACGGAGAAAGCUUUAUGCGCCAAUGGAUGAGCCCGCACUUGAUUAGUUUGUUGGUGGGGUAAUGGCCUACCAAGACUUUGAUCAAUAGCUGAUCUGAGAGGAUGAUCAGCCACAUUGGGACUGAGACACGGCCCAAACUCCUACGGGAGGCAGCAGUAGGGAAUAUUGCACAAUGGAGGAAACUCUGAUGCAGCGAUGCCGCGUGAGUGAAGAAGGCCCUUGGGUUGUAAAGCUCUUUCGUCGGGGAAGAAAAUGACUGUACCCGAAUAAGAAGGUCCGGCUAACUUCGUGCCAGCAGCCGCGGUAAUACGAAGGGACCUAGCGUAGUUCGGAAUUACUGGGCUUAAAGAGUUCGUAGGUGGUUAAAAAAGUUGGUUGUGAAAUCCCGGAGCUUAACUCCGGAACUGCAAUCAAAACUUUUUAGCUAGAGUAUGAUAGAGGAAAGCAGAAUUUCUAGUGUAGAGGUGAAAUUCGUAGAUAUUAGAAAGAAUACCAAUUGCGAAGGCAGCUUUCUGGAUCAUUACUGACACUGAGGAACGAAAGCAUGGGUAGCGAAGAGGAUUAGAUACCCUCGUAGUCCAUGCCGUAAACGAUGUGUGUUAGACGUUGGAAAUUUAUUUUCAGUGUCGCAGCGAAAGCAAUAAACACACCGCCUGGGGAGUACGACCGCAAGGUUAAAACUCAAAUGAAUUGACGGGGACCCGCACAAGUAGUGGAGCAUGUGGUUUAAUUCGAAGAUACGCGCAGAACCUUACCAACACUUGACAUGUUCGUCGCGACUCUAA
RNAcentral lists this ribosomal RNA (899 nucleotides) under uncultured marine bacterium. RNAcentral describes it as "bacterial SSU rRNA". It matches the Rfam family "Bacterial small subunit ribosomal RNA", at positions 57 to 1004 of the family's 1533-position model. The record is from RNAcentral.